CCCAAUCCUAAGUUGCAGUAUGUGUUCAAAACAUAUGUAUUAUAAGCUGUGUAGUUUAGUUGACUCAAAAUGAAAAACUAAAUGAUUGAAGUAUAUACCCAAAUUGAAGUGCGCGCACACACACACACACACUCACUUCUGACCUGAUAAGGAGCAAGCCAGAUGAAAUUGUUUGUGCAUUUGGUUAUGUUUCUAAUAUUAUGCUUUUUUGAAAAGUCCUCUCGAAUAAAGAAACUACAGUAAUAAAUUUCUAGAUUGGACUCUUGUUUAGGUUUAAGUGGACUGGAAGAGUUUAUAAAUUGAGAUUGCGCGAGUUAAAGUACCAUUUUUGUUGUUAGUAGCAACAUAAGAUUACAAUCUUGUCUUCCAGCGUGAAAUACUUUUGUUCUCUAAAGUGCAUUGUAUUUCUGUUGUGCUCCUUGGUCUCAACCUGGACCGAUGAAAAAAAAUGGGACCACUUAUUAUGGACUUGUUGAUUUUAAAACAUCAUACUUUUUCAUUCAUGAGUAUAUGGAUAUACUUGUGUUUUCUUGUAUCUGAAACAUCUCUUCGCAGUACAAUCCGUUCAGGCUAUUUUCCACCCGAGGUUAUUACCUAUGACCAAUGGGUACUGCUGAAACCUGAACCAAAAGGCCUAUUUUCUGGUUGGAAAAAGGGUUCCUUUAGUGGUGGAAAGAAGGAGAUGCAGGAAUCUAUGCAUCAGAAACUCAACUUCACUCUCAGCACAGCUCCUGUGUGGGACAGGUUUGCUGCUCUGUGCCUAAGAUUUUUAUAUUCCUGCUCUCUGGUUAUGAGUGCAUUCUUUCUGCAUUGUUGUGUAUUUGGUCAAAAAGUGAUUUCCAGCAGCUUGGAUUAACAUCAUUAAACAUAUCAGGUCCUUGUGAAAAAAAAGAGGAAAGAAGACUGUCCGGCUUUCAAUAUUUAAUUAUUUGUGUUAUCAUUUCUUUGAUGCUUUCUGGGCCAAGAUUGUCAAGUAGGGACUAGGGAACUAGAAAAGUACAAAGAGAGGUGGUCUUCAACAGUAAUCAUUCUAAAUGUUCUACUGGUUCACAAAUUGCUAGAUUCCACACCCUAUGAUUCCAAAGGCUCAUUGAACACCGGUUAAACGGAUGCUUGAGCCAGGAACAUUGUAGUGAUGAAGCUGAUUGUGUGUACUGUGUCCCUAAGAAAGGAGGUGAAUUUGAGUUCUUAUGGUGGUCUGUGUUUUACACUGCAGGUCCCUUCCUAUUCAUCCAAGUUGAAGCCAUAAACUAACUUCAAUUCUCAUCAGUUUGAUUUUGCUGUGAGUUAUGCUAAGCUGUGAUUUACACUUGACACAAAACAACUAUUUCCAAUUCUAUGCAGGUUGGAGCUUAAGGGUAAUAAAUAUGUCCUAGGAGAAUUUCUGGAGUUUAAAGGACAACAAGAAGAUAUCAUGGCUUUGAGGAACAUCAAAAGAUCGAAAGUUAGUCGUUUGAUCAUUCAAAAGACGAGCAUGUUUGGACUAGGUAAUCACUCCAACAUUUGCUCUGCUUUUCUUUUUAUGGAAACAAUAUUGAUUGUUAAUGAAUGUUUUUUAUCAAAAGGGAACCUGAGAUAAUAUUCUUGACAUAGUAAUGCUUAUUGUAUUAAUUCAUUAAUGAUUAAGAUUUUUAGGUUUUGAGGAGUUUAAGAAAAGUCCAAGAUGCAGUUUGGUAAAUCAAACAUAAACCUUUGGAUCAAACUGAAAUUUUGACAGCUGAUUUUGAAGGCAUUGUUUUAUCGAGUUAAAAUUUCAUGAUGAUUAAAGAACAAAAAAGCUUUCAAAUAAGGUUUGGAAGUUACUGUGUGAGAUUGUUUUUAUUUACUUUGUUGUAUUUGGAUUUUUUUUUAUAUUUAGAUUACGAUUUUCAAUUUAAUUAGUAUUUUACUAUUUAGAAAUACUAAUGCUAAAUGGAUUCUAUUAGUCAAGUAAAUUUUAAUUAGGAAUAAUCUAAUAUAAACAAAGAACAUUCAGAUUAUUAAGAUUUUUUAUAAAAAAUGAAAGAUUUUCUCUAAUUCCGCAAUAGUGAUAGGGUUAAACGUUCGGGUUUGAGAACCUUAAUUUUUUUGCACACUAUAAUUAUUUAGAAAUUUUGAUUUAGAAUUAAAUAAAACAAACUGUAAAAUGCCAUCUGAGUACUCUUAAAAAUUCCAGUAGGAACAUACUAAUGACAUAAAUUGAUCCAGACAAGCUAAGACCAACACUUACAGGAUUGUAAAUAGUUUUGUGCUACAGUACUGCUGUUGUAUGAUGAGUAGAGAGUUCUUAAACAAUCUCAUACCAAGAGACCGUUAAGUAUUGUGGUUUUAUUUUGGUCUCAUGUAUAAUUGGGUUUUAAAUUUUGUUUUUGUAAAAGCUAAAAUAACAUGCUUUUUAUUUAUGAAACCCGCUUUUCAUAUAUUUUACAUGCAAAAAUCUGUUUCAGAGCAGUUUUAACUAAAUAUGUUUUAUUUUCUUCUAAAUUACAACCUCAAUAGCUCAUCAUCCAGACUUGCUUAACACUCACACCCCACCAAAACAAUGUUUUUGUUUAACUGUCCUUUUUUGUACUUCCUCUGUAUAGUUAAGCUCAUCCCUAUUAUAGUAACCAAAGCUCUAUAUAGUAUUUGUAAUUUUUAUAUCGAGCAAGCACACAUUCUGACAACCGAUGCCCUUUUGCUUGUUUUUGCCUUUUCACUUCUCUGUUCAAACUCAAUGAACACCUGCAGCCAAUUCAAAGCUCCAGGUUUUGUACUCUGGCCGUGAUUAUCGAAGUGAAGGGGCUUCAGCUUCUGAGUUGAAGGAAGAAACCGUAAGAUCAAGUACAGAGGUUCUGUUUCAGGCAGAGAACUCCGCUAAAGUCCGCAAAUUCAAGCUUUCUUCAAUUAUCUCCAUGUCACUAAGUGCCUGAACAUGCUCAUGCUGAAUACAAGUUAUGCAUUGCUGUGGAAGCUAUAGGUCAUAGGCUAUGAUGUCACCUUAUGACUGCCUCCUUACGUGUAGGUGUGAAAUUAUAGUUCAUAUUGUAAACUAAAACAACUAAAUUAUGACAAAAAAUAAUAAUAAUAUUUUGCAUUUAAUAUGUGCAUGUGAUAAAAGAUUUAGAGGCAUUGAGAUUUCUAAAUAACAAUUACAAAAUAAAUUAAAAUAAAAAGGUGGUUUGGAACAGUGCUAAUUACUAUUUACACAUUUUUAAUGUAGUAUGAAUUAGAGCGGUAUUUUUUUUAUUUUGAUUUUUUAACUUAUUUUUCAAUCGAUCGAGUCCUUUAAUUACAAAAUUAAUAGUCAAUUACUUCGUAUUUGUUGGCUAGGGAUAAAAUUGAAAGAAGGAGAACCAACUUAAAAAAUGAAAUGGAACUAGAUGGUGUCUUUAAAUUUGGUGUGAAAAGUACAAUAUAGUCCUUCAAUUUUUAAAAUUAGAUCUUUUCGGUCUUUUAUGUUUUUAUAAAUUCAGUUUUGGUACAAAAUUUUAUUUUUAUUAUUUUUUUAGUUCCUAGAUUGUCAAAGAGAGAAAAUUUCAUUGCAUUCCAACAUAGAGAAAAAAAGUUGUUUUCACAAAUCUCAACUAUCAUAUUGGUUAAUUUUGAUGUCCAUGAGUUUUAUUUGAUGAAAGUAGCUUGAUAGUGGUUUUUUAGAACCUCAAUAUCACCUAAAAUAGUAGAUCGAAGUCGAGGAAGAAAAAUGUAACCCGGUUUGUUUCAUGUUUGGGGACUUUUUUAGAUUUUUUAAGUUGAUAAAUCAAUUUCUAGGUGUUUUGAGGGUAUUUAUAAGAUGUUUUUUUUUAUAGUUAAAAUGAGUUUUUCUUAGUUAAAUCAUAAACUUAAAAUACUGUUAUUCAUUAAUGCUAGAGUUAGAAAUACUAACACUAGGAUUAAUAAUAAAGUUGAACCUUAAUAUUCACUUGUGCUAAAGCUAGGAAUAAUAGACCUUUCGCAAGUAAUAUUUACCAAUGCUAGUGUUGAAAAUAUUUUAAUUAGUUGAAUAUUCAUUAAUGCUAAAGUAUAAGAAUAUUAUAGGUAGACCAUCAAUAGCAUAACACAACAAACCCUUAGCAAUUUAAGAUAAAAUUAGUAAUGUAGUUUACUUCAGGUAUGACACUUUAGUUUCCUUUAGUGUAACCAAUCUUGUAACAUAGAAUCUUUGCAAAUCAUUUAGAGUUUUUUAGUGACUAUAAUAUCAGAUGACGACUUCUUAAAUUAUACCUUUCUUCAUCAAAAUAAUGAAAUGCUAGAUAUCUAAUCUUUUCCUUUUCCUUUUUCAAAGGUCACCAUGAUAUUGGAUAGCGACGAUCAUAAUAAAAAUAGAAAGCAUGAAACAAUGAUAAUAUCAAAUGACAUCAUAUUGGACCUAUAGGCCAUAAACACCAUAAUCGAACCAUGUCCUAACUCGAAAACCUAGGGGCUUUAAACCAAAUCUUGGAUAUAGUCUCGGGCCUCUCGAACUAGGUCUCAACUUGAACUCCAAGAUUCAUGCUUAUUUUUUACUUUUGAAACCCUAUUUAACUCUCAAAAUAUAUAAUGAUAGUAUUGGUGUUCACGAUCCGGUUCGGUCCGGUUUUGACCAUCAAAGCCAACUGAAUUGGGAAUAAUAAUUCUUGAAAAAGUUAAACUGAAUCAAACUAAAACCGUAGAUAACUUGGGAGUUUUAGUUUCAUACAACAUUUAAAGAAACAAAAAAAAAAUACAAAGUAAGAAAAAUCUCGGAAACACCCACAAAUUCAACAAGAAAAUCUAAAACAAAACAAAAAAAACUCUCCACUUUUCUGACAGACAAGUGGUGACUAUGAAAUGGCUUGCUCAGAGCUAUGUCUUUGUUUUGACUUGACAAGGAUAAGACUUUUAAACCCAAGAACCAAAGACAAAAUUCCUAAGUCGAAUAGAAACCACUAAACAAAUGACUCGCGCAUAAAUAAUAUAAAUGGUUAUUGCAAUGGUUGUUGGAAGUGUUAGACCCACGUUACCAUGAGCUUGGGUAAUUAUCAAGACCAGGUGUCUUGGGUUUGACAAUUAUGCCAAAUCCACAUUUUUUAAGUCUGAUAAACAUGUCAAACCCAAGUUAUCUGGGCUUGGUAACCAAGUCAGAUCCAUGUGCCUGAGUCUGGUUAUUAUGCUAGACCCACAGUGCUUGGAUAUGACGACCAAGCCAGCUUAAGGUGCUUGGGUCUGACCACAACACCAGACCCACGUCACCUGGGUUUGGCUACCACACCAUAUCCAGACGUCUGGGUAUAACACUCAUGCCAGACCUGCGUGCCUGGGUAUAGCACCAAUGCCGGACUCAAGCUACUUACAAGAGGACAUUGUCAUUAUGGAUUCACUUUUUUAAUAUCAUGAAUUUUUUUAACUAAGAAAUGGAAAGAUAUGUUUGUGUUUAAUAUAAUAAAUUAAAAAAUUAUAUUACUUAAUAAAUUAAUUUUGAAUGAUAAUUAAAUAUAAGAGUAAAAAGUUAAUUUUCUCAUGUAAAUAGUACAAGAUAGAUAUAAAUGCAAAUAUUUUAUUUAGAUUAUCUUUUUUUUAUUUUAUACAUUUUUUUUUAUCUAUCUUGAAGAUUUACUAUGGUUGCUAAAUACAUAUUAUUUUUCGUUCUUAUAAAUGCAUAAUACAAAUAUAACUCUUCGAUUUUAAAUUUAGUAGGAAAAUAAAUUAUGUAUAAAUUACAAUAAAAUAAACUUUUGGAGAUACCAAACAAAAAAUUUAUUUUUAAAUAAUUAAACUAAAUAAUUUAAAAAAUUAGAUAGAUGAUAUUAAUUAAAAAUCAAAUUAAAAGGCCCUCUCCUCUUUCCCUUGGGUCUGAUAGCAAUACCAGAUCUAAGUGCCUGACAGUCAUUUCCGAAUAUAAAUAAUAAUUUAUAUGAAAAUGACAUAAACACCCUAACAUGCAACCUUGUUACUGUGAAACCCAAUGGUAAUUUUAUAUUUGAACUAUUUCAAUAAAAGAAAAAGACGGUGAAGCUCCUGAACACAUGCAUAUUCCUCCUUAGGGGCAUGAUUAUAUCUUUAUUGUUUUUAUUUUUUUGACAAGAUAAAAGAAGCUCCCAACUCUAAAGUUAAAAUUUUGUGUUCAAAAGGGCAAAUCAGCAUCUAUAUUGCAGCCUAAAAAGCCUGAAUAGAUCAUUUUAUUCUCAAUCAUUGUUUUAAUACCAAAUGUAUCCCAUGGAUAAGACAACCCUGCCUCUAACUAUAUACUUAACAAGUUUCUUUGGCAAGGACAAUUCCACCAUUACACUACUCCAAUCUACAAUAAUCUAUGUCUAAGUAAACAGUGAGAGAGAUAUUGAUCCCUUUUAGUAAAUGUUGUAAUUGUAAUUUAUAUCCCUUCUCUGAAACUUUGUUCCAAAUCAAACCUUUUUUCUUCUCUACCUAAUCCAAUGCUGAAGCUAAGGGAGAGUGGUCGAACCAAGACCAGCCUAUUAAGUAAUACUCUAAAAGGUGUGGGAAAACUAUUGUAGCUUUCCCACGCCUUUCACUUUCCCAUCUUUAAUAUAUUAUAUUAUUAUAAUUAUUAUAUUAUAAUAUAUACUAAAAAUUAAAUGAAACUCUAAAUUGUUUUUUUUUUAAUUUUUUUUGUUUUGUUUUUUAAUGAAUUUUUUUGUUUGAUCCCGGGUUUGAUGGGUUAGUCUGGUUUGAUGAGUUAACCAGGAUUUUUUUUUCUUUUUAAUUAAUUUUUUUCAUUUAGUUUAGUUUGUUAAUGUUAAAUUUCUUUAUAUUUAAUUAUCAGAUUUUCAUGACAUGUAUCCCGGACUUGACGGGUUAACUUGGUUUGACGGGUUAACCCAGUUAAUUUUGGGUAAACCCGUCAAUUAUUUUUUUCUAUUUAGUUAUCAAACUUUCAUGACGCGAAUCUUAGGUUUGACGGGUUAACCUGGUUUGAAAGGUUGACCCAUUUAAUUCAGAUUUUUUUUCUUUUUCUUUAUUAGUUUUUUUCUUCAUAUUGGUUUUUUUUUCCUUUGUUUUUUCCUUUUUAAUUAAUCUAUUUAAUUAUCACACUUUUAUGACACGACCUUAUAGCCAAACCCACAUCCAAUGCUCUAGGGUCCAGUGUUGCAGUCAGGCUCACUUAAACUUAAGUCAUGUAAGUUUAAUAUUAUUAUUAAUAUUAUAAAUAGUAUUCUUGGGUCAAGCGUUGCAGCUAGACCCAAGGCUUUUGGGUAUAUCUUUGCAGAAAGACCUAACACUCUUAGAUCUUAGCAUUUUUUUGAUAUUUUAUAUGCAAGAAAAAAAAAUUAACCCGUGUUGUAUGCCUUUGUUUUUUUUUCUUUUCUUUUUAAGCCUUUUACUUUGAAUAGAACGGUGCAAUCCACAGUGAAAAAACUUAUGUCUUUAGUUUAUUUUUUUUGUCUAUAGUUUCUUAAUAUUAAAUUUUUUCUGUUUAAUUAUCAGGCUUUCAUGACAUGGAUCCCAGGUUUGAUGGUUUAACCCAGUUGAUUCAGAUUUUUUUUUCUUUUUCUUCAUUAGUUUUUUCCUUCCUGUAGGUAUUUUUCUCUUUGCUUUUUCCUUUUUAAUUAAUCUUUUUUUUAAAAAAAUUAGUUUAUUAAUAUUAAAUCUUUUUUCUAUUUAGUUAUCACACUUUCAUGAGACGAAUCCUAGGUUUGACGGGUUAACCUGAUUUGGCGAGUUAACCCAAUUGAUUCAUAUUUUUUUUAUUUUUUCUCAUUAGUUUUUUUUUUCUAUUGGUUUUUUUUCUUUGUUUUUUUCUUUUUAAUUAAUUUAUUUAAUUAUCACACUUUUAUAACACGACCUUGCAGCCAGACCGACAUCCAAUGCUAUUGGGUCUGGUAUUGCAGCCAAACCCACUUAAACUUGGGUCAUGCAAGUUUAAUGUUAUUAUUAAUAUUAUAAAUAUUACUCCUAGGUCAAACGUUGUAGUCAAACCCAAGAUUCUUGGGUAUAGCUUUACAGAAAGACCUAACACUUUUAAAUCUUAAUUUUUUUUGAUAUUUUUUAUGCAAAACAAAUUAACCCGCAGCAUCGCGCGAGUCAUGUAACUAGUUGAACAACAAAUCUUGUGAUCGAAUCUUCAAUAUCAAAAGUUAAUAGCAGCAAAACAAGUUAGUGAUAAGGAAUUACAUAAAAGAGAAAGAGAGAGAGGUUCAAAGGGGUGGCGAUUGAAACAAAAAUAACAAGGAAAAGGUGUCUUAGGGUUUAAUUAAGUUUCUAUUUAUAUCCUUUAUAUUUUUAAUUGGGUUAAAUUUGGUUGAAUUGCUUGAAUUGAUUUUAGUUUUGUGAAAUUGAAAUCCAACUGGAUCAGGUGAUUUUUUUGUUUUUAACAUAGUUUUAAAAUCCAACCCGGCCCGACGGGUCGACCAGAGGCUGAAACCGGGCUGGGUUGAAGAAAAAACAGGAGAAGGAAAAACUCGGUGUAACCCGGCAAGACUCGGUCAAAAACCCGGUUGCAACCCGUUGACUUUUGUUUUUUUUACUAAAACAACGUGGUUUUGAUUUAAAAAAAAAGAAUUGAUCCGGGCGACUUGGUAACCCAGUCAAAACCCGGAACCCGGGCCUUAGACCGGGCCGGGUCUAAAACUAUGGUUUUUAAAUCAUUUUCUUCUGUUUUUUCUACUAGUUCAGUAUUUUUUAUUUUUUUGAUUUUCUUGAUUGGCUGUUUUUUUUUUUAACACCCCUGAAUGAUAGUAUAAAAAAUAAACAAGUUUUCAUAUCAUGUUUUUAAAUUUAAAAAACGAAAAUAAAAAAUAAGAAAAACGAAAACAAUAGCAAACAUCACAUCAAAUUUCAGAUGUGAUCUGUUUUCUUUUAACCUGGUACGAUUCAGUGUGUUUGGCAUCACAAACCCACCAACGGAAAUAAACAAAAGAAAAAACCAAACCAAUUUUCUUAAAGAACGUAAAAAAGAAAAAGAAGAGAAGAAAUCUCUUGAGGUUUCUCUUUCUCUCCCUACAAGAUAAGAAAAUUGUUUUUUACGAGACUCGAACACUCCUUGGUUGAUAAGUCAUAGAAUCAUCAUGUGGCUAGAGAUCGUCUGUGGUCUGAUCGUUUACAAGUUGUGCAAAUGCUUCUUCUCCGACGCUGACGACGUUUUAGCGGUCCAAUCCUCUGACACCAAUGCACUUUUCAAUGUUGCUAACAAGUACGUACCUGUACCUAUCUGCAUAUAGUAAUUUUCAAACUUGUUUUUUUUUCUUCUUUUUCUUAACAUUAAUGAUCAUCAAGAGCUAAUCCGGUUUUUAUUUUUGUUGUGUUUUUUCUUUGAAUUGAAGGCUUGAAAAGCUAUAUGGAGGAAAGGUUUAUGCAGGGCUCCGAAUUCCGGAUGCUGACACUGGUUCAAGGCAAAAUAUAGAUAUAGUUCUUGUCACCAAAGGGUAAAUGAAAAUUUUAAGAUAAAAUAUGUUAUGAAGGAACAACAAGAAUUAUUGUUUUGAUUUGACUUUACAGUGAGGCAGUGGUGAUUUCUGUCAAGAAUUUCUCGGGAUUUGUAUCAAUCAGUGGUGAUGGCAGCUGGGUGUGUGAAGGUGAAGGUAGACACAAAUCAGAGCGUCAUCCUGAUCCUGUAAGCUUUUCUUUAUUUCUUUCUUGGAUAGUUAAUUACUCUGAUAUAUGAUUACAAUAGCUUUCAUGGUGCAUUUUGUUGGUUUGAGUUUGUAAAACUGUUUUGGCACCGAGGAAGAGACCUAGGACUGAAUACCAAUUGUACUUGGGAUGGGAGAAUUGGUGGGGAAAACUAGCAAGGCCAUUGCCCCAAGAGGCCCAACAUUGAACCUUUGUUGAUAUUUGCGGCAGGAGGGGUUAAGAAGGCGAUUGAUCCUUCUUUUGAAAAUCUAACCAUUUAACCAAAAUGGGAUAAAAAAUGCAGUUACUAGAGCUUACCUUCCUUUUCUCCCUGAAUUAUGGAUUCCAAUAGGCAGAAAUAAAUUCUCUUGGAAGAACUGGUGACUUUGAGGGAUUGAAUAAAAAACCAACUAUUGCUGCCUAGUCCAAUCUGUUUUUGUUUUCUGACAAAAAAUGGAACAAGAAAUUGUAUUUAAGAAUAGAUGAAGAAUAAAUACAUUAUAGAAAAUGAGUUACUGUCCAAAGCUUUUGCAAUGAACUAUUACGAAAGCAACUAUGCUCUAGACUCAACCCUAAUGUAUUUAUUACUCAGCCCAUGAGACACAAGCGUUGUUUUAUUCAAUGUUAUACAGACAACACAAAUAACUAUGUCUUCAAAUGAAAAGAAAAAAUACAUUAAAAUCAACAGAUAAACUUCAUGAUUGAUUGCAUAACAGUUGUACAUCAGCAUCAUUAUAUUUUUGCUAGUUUUGUUGUCAUAAUAAAAAUAUCUAAUGCAACCAGCUGCUUUAGCAUCUGCAACAUCUUUAAUCAUUGGCAUUGUAUUUAUUUCUAUGCUUACAGUUUCAUGUUCCUUUGCUAUAGUUGCUUGGCAAGCUAAUUUUUGGAUACUGCUAUUUCUCCAAAAUAAUAUCUUGUAUAUUUGUUUCUAGAUACUUGUAUUAUAACAGAGUAUGGAUUUUUGACUCCAGUGCAAAAACAUGAGGUUGAUUUUGGCCACUGUUUGAUCUGAAUCUGUUUUAUUAACCUCUUUUUUCUCAGGUGGAGGAGACUAAAAAGCAAGCUUCAAUUCUUGAAUCAUAUCUUGAACAAAGGGGAGUUGCUCUACCUGAAGGAUAUUUGUCUUGCAAAGUUGUACUUCCCAAUCCUAAUUUGCAGUAUGUGUUCAAAACAUAUGUAUUAUAAGCUGUGUAGUUUAGUUGACUCAAAAUGAAAAACUAAAUGAUUGAAGUAUAUACCCAAAUUGAUGUGCGCGCACACACACACACACACACACUCACAUUUCUGACCUGAUAAGGAGCAAGCCAGAUGAAAUUGUUUGUGCAUUUGGUUAUGUUUCUAAUAUUAUGCUUUUUUGAAAAGUCCUCUUGAAUAAAGAAACUACAGUAAUAAAUUUCUAGAUUGGACUCUUGUUUAGGUUUAAGUGGACUGGAAGAGUUUAUAAAUUGAGAUUGCGCGAGUUAAAGUACCAUUUUUGUUGUUAGUAGCAACAUAAGAUUACAAUCUUGUCUUCCAGUGUGAAAUACUUUUGUUCUCUGAAGUACAUUGUAUUUCUGUUGUGCUCCUUGGUCUCUACCUGGACCGAUGAAAAAAAAUGGGACCACUUAUUAUGGACUUGUUGAUUUUAAAACAGGUUGUUUCUGUCAUACUUUUUCAUUCAUUAGUAUUUGGAUAUACUUGUGUUUUCUUGUAUCUGAAUCAUCUCUUCGCAGUACAAUCCAUUCAGGCUAUUUUGCACCUGAGGUUAUUACCUAUGACCAAUGGGUACUGCUGAAACCUGAACCGAAAGGCCUAUUUUCUGGUUGGAUAAAGGGUGCCUUUCGUGGUGGAAAGAAGGAGAUGCAGGAAUCUAUACAUCAGAAACUCAACUUCACUCUACGCACAGCUCCUAUGUGGGACAGGUU
This 11387-nucleotide long non-coding RNA is filed under the name Populus trichocarpa (black cottonwood). RNAcentral's name for it is "long non-coding RNA (PTRI_LNC004653)". The record is from RNAcentral. Lineage: Eukaryota; Viridiplantae; Streptophyta; Magnoliopsida; Malpighiales; Salicaceae.